Molecule: non-coding RNA, 73 nt
Organism: Syngnathus typhle (broad-nosed pipefish)
Lineage: Eukaryota; Metazoa; Chordata; Actinopteri; Syngnathiformes; Syngnathidae
Source: the annotation of a RefSeq genome assembly
GGCUCCGUAGCUCAGGGGUUAGAGCAUUGGUCUGGUCAACCAGCGGUCGUCAGUUCAAAUCUCACUGGGGCCU